CAGCCGUAAACUAUGCGCGUUAGGUGUACUGGUGACCACGAGUCACCGGGUGCCGAAGGGAAACCGUGAAACGUGCCGCCUGGGAAGUACGGUCGCAAGGCUGAAACUUAAAGGAAUUGGCGGGGAGCACCACAACGGGUGGAGCCUGCGGUUUAAUUGGACUCAACGCCGGAAAUCUCACCGGAUAGGACAGACAUAUGAUAGUCGGGCUGAAGACUCUACCUGAUGAUCUGAGAGGUGGUGCAUGGCGUCAGUGACU
Molecule: ribosomal RNA, 259 nt
Filed under: uncultured archaeon
Lineage: Archaea
Description: partial 16S ribosomal RNA
Rfam family: Archaeal small subunit ribosomal RNA
Source: RNAcentral